This 253-nucleotide ribosomal RNA is filed under the name uncultured bacterium. RNAcentral describes it as "partial 16S ribosomal RNA". It matches the Rfam family "Bacterial small subunit ribosomal RNA", at positions 524 to 776 of the family's 1533-position model. The record is from RNAcentral.
UACAGAGGUCUCAAGCGUUGUUCGGAUUCAUUGGGCGUAAAGGGUGCGUAGGCGGCGCGGUAAGUCGGGUGUGAAAACUCGGAGCUCAACUCCGAGCCUGCGUUCGAUACUGGACGGCUAGAGUCUGGUAGGGGGAUCUGGAAUUCCUGGUGUAGCGGUGGAAUGCGCAGAUAUCAGGAGGAACACCGGUGGCGAAGGCGGGAUCCUGGGCCAGUACUGACGCUGAGGAGCGAAAGCGUGGGGAGCAAACAGG